This 306-nucleotide RNase P RNA is filed under the name Xenopus tropicalis (tropical clawed frog). Its description in RNAcentral is "Nuclear RNase P (ENSXETG00000043754.1)". It matches the Rfam family "Nuclear RNase P". From Rfam's summary of the family: Ribonuclease P (RNase P) is a ubiquitous endoribonuclease, found in archaea, bacteria and eukarya as well as chloroplasts and mitochondria. Its best characterised activity is the generation of mature 5'-ends of tRNAs by cleaving the 5'-leader elements of precursor-tRNAs. The record is from Rfam by way of RNAcentral. Lineage: Eukaryota; Metazoa; Chordata; Amphibia; Anura; Pipidae.
GAGGGAAAGCUCAGUGCUGAGGUUACAGACAGAGUGUAGGGGUCACUCUAUGUGCCUCAGGGAAGGUCUGAGACUGGAGCUCCUAGUUGCCCCUGCAGGGCAUCCCUUGGAUGAAGGGGGUGGUUUCCCAGAGAACUUGGCUCUGAUUGCCCAGUGAGUGCAAAAGAUGCAGCAAGUCCCCAAUGUUGUGCUUCUGCAGAUGCAAAGGCAUCAGGUUGGCAUGCCCACAGCUGGCACAUUCAGCUCAAUGGCUGAGAGGGAACUGCCCUGUGGUUUCCAACCCAAUUCAGACUACUUCCUCACUUU